CUCUCCACCCUUUACCCUAUGGAACAGGUUGUCCUUGUCCCCUCUGGGCUUGUGGCAUCCCACACCCCGCUGGAGCCCCGUUCCUCUUGCAAAAGCUAUGUUAUCCCACCAGAACAGGACACAGCCAGAAACCCUGGGCUGCUGCGUAGCAUGGUUCCUCCCUUCUUUCUGGGGAUGUGGGAGAGAAAUCGAGGUGUCUUCUCCUCACGCAGGAACUAGGAACAUCCUCAUGGAGCAGAGGACCCCAGGGUAAAAAGAACAAGCUCAGUGGGGAAGACUGCCCUGACAUCAGCCAUGGCCAAGCAGUGCGUGUGCAGAAGAGAAGGCAGUUGUAGCUGGGGAGGUGAGGACCCCUCUGGGAGAGGAGACGAGAGCAGCCCCUUCCCAUGAUGUGGCCCCCAGAGUUCCCAGGACCCCUGACUGUGACAAUCCUCAAUGGUUGCUCCUGCUGGAGGAGGGAGAAACCCCAGGGAGCAUUUUGGGCACAGUCAGACCAGAACAUUUCUCGUCACUGAAUCUCCCCUUGUUCCCCCAGCAGAGUCAUUUCCAGCAGCUCUGUUCUUUCGGGGCUGGGAGGUGCUUUUCUGACUCUCUCUCCCGCAGCAAACAGGAGGGUCGGUCUCAGCAUGCACCGCGGGUAUCUCAUCCUCACUGCCUUCCUGGGGCAACUGCUGGAAACCAUGGGACAGGUGUCCGUCACCCAGCAAGAAGGACAAGUCACCGUGGAGCAGGGAAACACCUUCCAGACCAAUUGCACAUACAAGACCUCCAACUUCUUUAGUGCGUUGCUCUGGUACCAGCAGAAGAAGGGACAAGCCCCUCAGCUGAUUUCUUAUCAAGCAGGAAAGGGCACCAAGCAGAAGGACCGUUUCACCACGGAGCUGAACACUGACGAGAAACACAGUGUUCUGCGGCUGAAGGAAGUUGAGCUCUCUGACAGCGCCUUGUACCUCUGUGCUGUGAGUGACACCCUGGUGCAGUGAGCUGCCCUGGCUGAGCAACAACCCCGGAUGGGGAGGGGAUGUGUCUGUGCAAGGCAGAGCUCUGGGAUGGGGCCCUCAGCUCUCCCCUGGCUGCACUGCUUCCCCUGUGCACUCCAAGAUCUGACAGCCAGAUCCUCUUUCCCAAAGGGGCUGGUGUCUGUGGCUGUGCAGAGAGGGCUGACCCCAACUGACUGACCUGGACCACAGGGCUCUACUUUCCUCUCUUCCCGGUCUGACAGAAUAGGGCAGAGCCUGCUGGGAAAUAAGACUCCCCUGGGGGAUUGCUCUCAGCCCCUCAGCCCCAGCGUGAGUAAAUUCCUGCCAGCCCAUGAUAAAGCAGCUUGCUUUGAGCCCUGGCCAGCCCAGCCCAGAGACCCCUAGAAGUAGUCCUGACAGAGAUUUGCAGGGUUCUUCUCUCUCUUCAAUGAGUCAGUCAAUAAACUGGAGUUGCAUCCCAGCCACCAGGUUUUCUCCAGACCUUCAGCCAGUUCAUGUCCAAAGCCUGUGCCUAAGGGACAGAACAAAUAGAGCAGCCCUUAGUGCCAAAGGCCCAAGAGCUCUCCAUGUUCAUCACAGUAAGCAAUCAGAGCAAGAGAUAAAUGAAGACCUACAGCCCACUGAGUUCGUUGACGUCUCCUCAGGGGCGCUGGAGGCAUGUGUGAUCAUUCUCAGCCCCUGCACAGGGAGCAGUGUCAUAAUGACCAGCUCCUGCGGCAGUGGGGCAUUGCAUGUCUGGGACAAGCUGGGUGUCCUGCAGGCUGCAAAUGCCGAGACCUGGCAGGAGAAACGAGGCUGUGCUGAUGAAGCUUCCUCUGUCUCACAAAGCAUGCUGAAUGUGGUGUUUUGAUGUCCUCAGACUUGAGGAAACUCUUUUGUCUGCUUGCAAGAGCAAGAAGCAAAGCAACCCGGAGAAAGAAAAGCUUGGCCCAG
Molecule: non-coding RNA, 1913 nt
Organism: Cygnus olor (mute swan)
Lineage: Eukaryota; Metazoa; Chordata; Aves; Anseriformes; Anatidae
Source: the annotation of a RefSeq genome assembly